UACGGAGGAUGCAAGCGUUACUCGGAAUCACUGGGCGUAAAGGACGCGUAGGCGGAUUAUCAAGUCUUGUGUGAAAUCUAGUGGCUUAACCACUAAACUGCAUAGGAAACUGAUAGUCUAGAGUAGGGGAGAGGUAGAUGGAAUUCUUGGUGUAGGGGUAAAAUCCGUAGAGAUCAAGAGGAAUACUUAUUGCGAAGGCGAUCUACUAGAACCUAACUGACGCUGAGGCGUGAAAGCGUGGGUAGCAAACAGGAUUAGAUACCCUGGUA
Molecule: ribosomal RNA, 269 nt
Filed under: uncultured prokaryote
Description: partial 16S ribosomal RNA
Rfam family: Bacterial small subunit ribosomal RNA
Source: RNAcentral